UGGGGAAUAUUGGACAAUGGGCGCAAGCCUGAUCCAGCAAUACCGCGUGUGUGAAGAAGGCCUGAGGGUUGUAAAGCACUUUCAAUUGGGAGGAAAACCUGCCGGUCAAUACCCGGCAGCUUGACAUUACCUUUAGAAGAAGCACCGGCUAACUCCGUGCCAGCAGCCGCGGUAAUACGGAGGGUGCAAGCGUUAAUCGGAAUUACUGGGCGUAAAGCGUGCGUAGGCGGUUAUUUAAGUCAGAUGUGAAAGCCCCGGGCUUAACCUGGGAACUGCAUUUGAUACUGGGUAACUAGAGUUUAGUAGAGGAGAGUGGAAUUUCAGGUGUAGCGGUGAAAUGCGUAGAGAUCUGAAGGAACACCAGUGGCGAAGGCGACUCUCUGGACUAAAACUGACGCUG
This 400-nucleotide ribosomal RNA is filed under the name uncultured Methylobacter sp. Its description in RNAcentral is "bacterial SSU rRNA". It matches the Rfam family "Bacterial small subunit ribosomal RNA", at positions 355 to 748 of the family's 1533-position model. Lineage: Bacteria; Pseudomonadati; Pseudomonadota; Gammaproteobacteria; Methylococcales; Methylococcaceae. The record is from RNAcentral.